This 33-nucleotide small RNA is filed under the name Bombyx mori (domestic silkworm). RNAcentral's name for it is "ovarian small RNA-26699". The record is from RNAcentral. Lineage: Eukaryota; Metazoa; Arthropoda; Insecta; Lepidoptera; Bombycidae.
UCCACGGUAUUGGGGUGCACACUUAAGCCCCAC